ACCGGCGCACGGGUGCGUAAUGCGUAUGCACCUACCUUUUACAGGGGUAUAGUCAAGAGAAAUUUUGAAUAACACCCCAUACGUACACCUGUAGAAAACUCCGGUGGUAAAAGAUGGGCAUGCGUCCUAUUAGUUAGUUGGUGAGGUAACGGCUCACCAAGACCGCGAUAGGUAGGGGUCCUGAGAGGGAGAUCCCCCACACUGGUACUGAGACACGGACCAGACUCCUACGGGAGGCAGCAGUGAGGAAUAUUGGACAAUGGAGGCAACUCUGAUCCAGCCAUGCCGCGUGCAGGAAGACUGCCUAUGGGUUGUAAACUGCUUUUAUACAGGAAGAAACCUUGGUACGUGUACCAAGCUGACGGUACUGUAAGAAUAAGGAUCGGCUAACUCCGUGCCAGCAGCCGCGGUAAUACGGAGGAUCCAAGCGUUAUCCGGAAUCAUUGGGUUUAAAGGGUCCGCAGGCGGUCUUUUAAGUCAGAGGUGAAAUCCUAUCGCUCAACGAUAGAACUGCCUUUGAUACUGAAAGACUUGAGUUAUUGUGAAGUGGUUAGAAUAUGUAGUGUAGCGGUGAAAUGCAUAGAUAUUACAUAGAAUACCGAUUGCGAAGGCAGAUCACUAACAAUACACUGACGCUGAGGGACGAAAGCGUGGGUAGCGAACAGGAUUAGAUACCCUGGUAGUCCACGCCGA
This 693-nucleotide ribosomal RNA is filed under the name uncultured bacterium. RNAcentral describes it as "bacterial SSU rRNA". It matches the Rfam family "Bacterial small subunit ribosomal RNA", at positions 94 to 803 of the family's 1533-position model. The record is from RNAcentral.